This 479-nucleotide ribosomal RNA is filed under the name uncultured Alphaproteobacteria bacterium. RNAcentral describes it as "bacterial SSU rRNA". It matches the Rfam family "Bacterial small subunit ribosomal RNA", at positions 9 to 524 of the family's 1533-position model. Lineage: Bacteria; Pseudomonadati; Pseudomonadota; Alphaproteobacteria. The record is from RNAcentral.
GAGUUUGAUCCUGGCUCAGAACGAACGCUGGCGGCAUGCCUAACACAUGCAAGUCGAACGGGAUCCAGGCUUCGGCCUGGUGAGAGUGGCGGACGGGUGAGUAACGCGUGGGAACCUGCCCAAUGGUCUGGGAUAACCGCGGGAAACUGCGGCUAAUACCGGAUAAGCCCGAGAGGGGAAAGAUUUAUCGCCGAUGGAGGGGCCCGCGUCCGAUUAGGUAGUUGGUGAGGUAACGGCUCACCAAGCCGACGAUCGGUAGCUGGUCUGAGAGGAUGAUCAGCCACACUGGGACUGAGAUACGGCCCAGACUCCUACGGGAGGCAGCAGUGGGGAAUAUUGGACAAUGGGGGCAACCCUGAUCCAGCAAUGCCGCGUGAGUGAUGAAGGCCUUAGGGUUGUAAAGCUCUUUUGGCGGGGACGAUGAUGACGGUACCCGCAGAAUAAGCCCCGGCUAACUUCGUGCCAGCCGCCGCCGUAAU